GCCCGGUUAGCUCAGUCGGUAGAGCAUUCGGCUUUUAACCGAAAUGUCGGGGUUCGAGCCCCCCAUUGGGCG
RNAcentral lists this transfer RNA (72 nucleotides) under Puccinia triticina 1-1 BBBD Race 1. RNAcentral's name for it is "tRNA-Lys (TTT) (tRNA-Lys-TTT-3-1)". It matches the Rfam family "tRNA". Rfam says of the family: Transfer RNA (tRNA) molecules are approximately 80 nucleotides in length. Lineage: Eukaryota; Fungi; Basidiomycota; Pucciniomycetes; Pucciniales; Pucciniaceae. The record is from RNAcentral.